UGAUUCUUGCGCGCAGGUCCGCACUCA
This 27-nucleotide small RNA is filed under the name Bombyx mori (domestic silkworm). RNAcentral's name for it is "ovarian small RNA-33077". Lineage: Eukaryota; Metazoa; Arthropoda; Insecta; Lepidoptera; Bombycidae. The record is from RNAcentral.